RNAcentral lists this ribosomal RNA (435 nucleotides) under uncultured Flavobacterium sp. Its description in RNAcentral is "bacterial SSU rRNA". It matches the Rfam family "Bacterial small subunit ribosomal RNA", at positions 358 to 789 of the family's 1533-position model. Lineage: Bacteria; Pseudomonadati; Bacteroidota; Flavobacteriia; Flavobacteriales; Flavobacteriaceae. The record is from RNAcentral.
GGAAUAUUGGACAGUGGGCGCAAGCCUGAUCCAGCCAUGCCGCGUGCAGGAAGACGGUCCUAUGGAUUGUAAACUGCUUUUAUACAGGAGGAAGCACCUCUACGUGUAGAGACUUGACGGUACUGUAAGAAUAAGGAUCGGCUAACUCCGUGCCAGCAGCCGCGGUAAUACGGAGGAUCCAAGCGUUAUCCGGAAUCAUUGGGUUUAAAGGGUCCGUAGGCGGGCUUAUAAGUCAGUGGUGAAAUCUCCCAGCUCAACUGGGAAACUGCCAUUGAUACUGUAGGUCUUGAAUUAUUAGGAAGUAACUAGAAUAUGUAGUGUAGCGGUGAAAUGCUUAGAUAUUACAUGGAAUACCAAUUGCGAAGGCAGGUUACUACUAAUACAUUGACGCUGAUGGACGAAAGCGUGGGUAGCGAACAGGAUUAGAUACCCCUG